GACGAACGCUGGCGGCGUGCCUAAUACAUGCAAGUCGAGCGGACCAAAGGGAGCUUGCUCCUGGAGGUUAGCGGCGAACGGGUGAGUAACACGUGGGCAACCUGCCUGUAAGACUGGGAUAACAUCGAGAAAUCGGUGCUAAUACCGGAUAAUAAAAAGAACUGCAUGGUUCUUUUUUGAAAGAUGGUUUCGGCUAUCACUUACAGAUGGGCCCGCGGCGCAUUAGCUAGUUGGUGAGGUAACGGCUCACCAAGGCAACGAUGCGUAGCCGACCUGAGAGGGUGAUCGGCCACACUGGGACUGAGACACGGCCCAGACUCCUACGGGAGGCAGCAGUAGGGAAUCUUCCGCAAUGGACGAAAGUCUGACGGAGCAACGCGCGUGAGUGAUGAAGGCUUUCGGAUCGUAAAACUCUGUGUUAGGGAGAACAAGUGCCGUUCGAAAGGGCGGCACCUUGACGGUACCUAACGAGAAAGCCACGGCUAACUACGUGCCAGCAGCCGUACGG
This 508-nucleotide ribosomal RNA is filed under the name uncultured bacterium. RNAcentral describes it as "bacterial SSU rRNA". It matches the Rfam family "Bacterial small subunit ribosomal RNA", at positions 28 to 520 of the family's 1533-position model. The record is from RNAcentral.